RNAcentral lists this ribosomal RNA (256 nucleotides) under uncultured bacterium. Its description in RNAcentral is "partial 16S ribosomal RNA". It matches the Rfam family "Bacterial small subunit ribosomal RNA", at positions 524 to 776 of the family's 1533-position model. The record is from RNAcentral.
UACGUAGGGUGCGAGCGUUGUCCGGAAUUACUGGGCGUAAAGAGCUCGUAGGUGGUUUGUCGCGUUGUUCGUGAAAACUCACAGCUCAACUGUGGGCGUGCGGGCGAUACGGGCAGACUGGAGUACUGCAGGGGAGACUGGAAUUCCUGGUGUAGCGGUGGAAUGCGCAGAGUAUCAGGAGGAACACCGGUGGCGAAGGCGGGUCUCUGGGCAGUAACUGACGCUGGAGGAGCGGAAAGCGUGGGGAGCGAACAGG